Molecule: non-coding RNA, 477 nt
Organism: Peromyscus maniculatus bairdii (prairie deer mouse)
Lineage: Eukaryota; Metazoa; Chordata; Mammalia; Rodentia; Cricetidae
Source: RefSeq, a predicted model, not a curated record
GCAUUCCAUGUGAUGUCACCAGUGUUGUGGCAACACCAACUGUCAUUGGGGCAUUGGUGCAGUGUCUCAUGUUUCACUGACAGACAUGCUGACUAGACUAAACAGGAUUCUUGGGAGACAGGAUGGCGAGCACAGGGAGAUCAGAGGAAGACAGAAGGAAAAUGGCCUUCAGCCUCCAAGUCACACACCAAGAAACAAAUGGUUCUGGGGAAAGCACAGGACUGCUAGGAAGGCAUCAUCCACACCCUUCUUCCUCACUGAGCAGGAGCAGCUGAACCAGGUGGAAAAACUGAAACUUCACCUACAGAUGAUGACAAAUGACAGGAAUGAACUGCGUGAAUUCCUGGCCCAUUACAACAAUGAGUUGAACAACAGGUAUUCAUCAUGCCCUGUUCUCUGGUGAAUGUCUUGACCCUACUGUGUCAAUUCCAGCAGUCCUUGGGUCACUGGAAGCUGCACCUGCAGGGCGACCUGCAC